CAAUAGCGUAUAUUAAAGUUGUUGCAGUUAAAAAGCUCGUAGUUGGAUUUCUGAUCGAGACAUCAGGUCGGGUCCGAGAGGAUCAUGUACUUUGAUUUUGUUUUGAUCAUCCUUGGGGAGAGCAUUUCUGGCAUUCAGUUGACGGGAUUGGGAUCCUCAUCGUUUACUGUGAAAAAAUUAGAGUGUUCAAAGCAGGCCUCGGCCUCUGAAUACAUUAGCAUGGAAUAAUAAGAUAGGACUUUGGUGGUCUAUUUUGUUGGUUUGCACGCCAAAGUAAUGAUUAAUAGGGAUAGUUGGGGGUAUUCGUAUUCAAUUGUCAGAGGUGAAAUUCUUGGAUUUAUGGAAGACGAACUACUGCGAAAGCAUUUACCAAGGAUGUUUUCAUUAA
This 388-nucleotide ribosomal RNA is filed under the name uncultured eukaryote. Its description in RNAcentral is "partial 18S ribosomal RNA". It matches the Rfam family "Eukaryotic small subunit ribosomal RNA", at positions 592 to 976 of the family's 1831-position model. The record is from RNAcentral.